This 460-nucleotide ribosomal RNA is filed under the name uncultured bacterium. RNAcentral's name for it is "partial 16S ribosomal RNA". It matches the Rfam family "Bacterial small subunit ribosomal RNA", at positions 338 to 795 of the family's 1533-position model. The record is from RNAcentral.
CCUACGGGUGGCAGCAGUGAGGAAUAUUGGUCAAUGGGCGCGAGCCUGAACCAGCCAAGUCGCGUGAGGGAGGACGGCCCUACGGGUUGUAAACCUCUUUUGCCGGGGAGCAACGGGCGUCACGUGUGGCGCCACUGAGAGUACCCGGAGAAAAAGCAUCGGCUAACUCCGUGCCAGCAGCCGCGGUAAUACGGAGGAUGCGAGCGUUAUCCGGAUUUAUUGGGUUAAAAGGGUGCGUAGGCGGAUCGUUAAGUCAGUGGUCAAAUUGAGGGGCUCAACCCCUUCCCGCCAUUGAAACUGGCGCUCUUGAGUGGAAGAGAAGUAUGCGGAAUGCGUGGUGUAGCGGUGAAAUGCAUAGAUAUUAGGAGGAACACCAGUGGCGAAGGCGGCCUGCUGGACGACAACUGACGGUGAGGCGCGAAAGCGUGGGGAGCAAACAGGAUUAGAUACCCUUGUAGUC